RNAcentral lists this ribosomal RNA (389 nucleotides) under Allochrocebus solatus (sun-tailed monkey). RNAcentral's name for it is "partial 12S ribosomal RNA". It matches the Rfam family "Bacterial small subunit ribosomal RNA", at positions 794 to 1384 of the family's 1533-position model. Lineage: Eukaryota; Metazoa; Chordata; Mammalia; Primates; Cercopithecidae. The record is from RNAcentral.
GCUUAGCCCUAAACCUCAGUAGUUAAACCAACAAAACUACUCGCCAGAACACUACAAGCAACCGCUUGAAACUCAAAGGACUUGGCGGUGCUUCACACCCCCUAGAGGAGCCUGUCCCAUAAUCGAUAAACCCCGAUCCACCCCACCCUCUCUUGCUCAGCCUAUAUACCGCCAUCUUCAGCAAACCCUGACAAAGGUUACAAAGUGAGCGCAAGUGCCCCUUUUCGCAAAAACGUUAGGUCAAGGUGUAGCCUAUGAGAUGGUAAAAGAUGGGCUACAUUUUCUACCCUAGAAAACCCACGAUAACUCUCAUGAAACUUAAGAUCUAAGGAGGAUUUAGCAGUAAAUUAAGAAUAGAGUGCUUAGUUGAACAAGGCCAUAAAGCACGC